CCUAGGGGUGGCAGCAGUAGGGAAUAUUGCACAAUGGGGGAAACCCUGAAGCAGCAACGCCGCGUGGAGGAUGAAGGUUUUCGGAUUGUAAACUCCUUUUGUUAGAGAAGAUAAUGACGGUAUCUAACGAAUAAGCCCCGGCUAACUCCGUGCCAGCCGCCGCGGUCAUACGGAGGGUGCAAGCGUUACCCGGAAUCACUGGGUGUAAAGAGCGCGUAGGCGGGAGGGCAAGUCAGAUGUGAAAUCCUAUGGCUUAACCAAAGGACUGCAUUUGAAACUGUUAGGCUAGAGUAUGGGAGAGGUAGGUGGAAUUCUUGGUGUAGGGGUAAAAUCCGUAGAGAUCAAGAGGAAUACUCAUUGCGAAGGCGACCUGCUAGAACAUGACUGACGCUGAUGCGCGAAAGCGUGGGGAGCAAACAGGAUUAGAUACCCUAGUAGUC
Molecule: ribosomal RNA, 440 nt
Filed under: uncultured bacterium
Lineage: Bacteria
Description: partial 16S ribosomal RNA
Rfam family: Bacterial small subunit ribosomal RNA
Source: RNAcentral